Long non-coding RNA from Plodia interpunctella (Indianmeal moth), 572 nucleotides. RefSeq lists it as uncharacterized. The record is from RefSeq and is a predicted model, not a curated record. Lineage: Eukaryota; Metazoa; Arthropoda; Insecta; Lepidoptera; Pyralidae. The transcript has 3 exons.
UUUGUAUUAGGUAAAUGUUAUGAAAAUAUGUGACGAAUCUAUAUACGCAUUCAAGUUUGUGAAGACGUUUCAGUGAAGGAAUAAGGACAAGAAAAAAUUGAUUUUAACUAGCCUAACUGACUAAUGCAUUUAACAAUCAUUUUAACCUUGCUGGCUUUAUUUUGGACAUCAACAAUAUCAGCAACAAAACACUUGCAAUGUUUUGAGUGCAGUGGGGGAGGACCACUCGAUAAAUUUGUUUUAUAUAGAGACACCUGCGAAGGUGGUUCUUUCUAUUCAAAUUAUCCAAAACAAAUCAACUGUGAUCAUGCUUGUAUGAAAUAUAUUGCACGAACGAUUAGUUCAAACACCAUUAUAUACAAGCGAGGCUGUGAGAACAACAAGACGAAGGUCGCCGGUUGUAUGCAAGAAUUUUUUAACUUUAAUGAUACGAUUAUAAUGUGCUAUUGUUUUGAAGAACUAUGCAACAUAGCCGGCUUGUUGAACGGUCCUAAAGCAUUAGCAGGAUUCGUCUUCAGUAUUAUUGCUAUUUUGGCCAAUUAAAGUUGUUAUCACUACUCUGAAAUACUUUA